UCCUCCUUAGCUCAGUCGGUAGAGCACUCGGCUGUUAACCGAGUUGUCGCUGGUUCGAGCCCAGCAGGGGGAGCCA
Molecule: transfer RNA, 76 nt
Filed under: Clostridiales bacterium
Lineage: Bacteria; Bacillati; Bacillota; Clostridia; Eubacteriales
Description: tRNA-Asn
Rfam family: tRNA
About the family: Transfer RNA (tRNA) molecules are approximately 80 nucleotides in length. Their secondary structure includes four short double-helical elements and three loops (D, anti-codon, and T loops). Further hydrogen bonds mediate the characteristic L-shaped molecular structure. tRNAs have two regions of fundamental functional importance: the anti-codon, which is responsible for specific mRNA codon recognition, and the 3' end, to which the tRNAs corresponding amino acid is attached (by aminoacyl-tRNA synthetases). tRNAs cope with the degeneracy of the genetic code in two manners: having more than one tRNA (with a specific anti-codon) for a particular amino acid; and 'wobble' base-pairing, i.e. permitting non-standard base-pairing at the 3rd anti-codon position.
Source: RNAcentral